Molecule: long non-coding RNA, 1250 nt
Organism: Lolium rigidum
Lineage: Eukaryota; Viridiplantae; Streptophyta; Magnoliopsida; Poales; Poaceae
Exons: 9
Source: RefSeq, a predicted model, not a curated record
GCCACGAUGCGGAUGGGGGGAAAUGGCCUACGGAGAGUGGAUCUAGGAGUCUACCACGCACAAGGGGAGGAGGGGGAUGGCCUGGCCACGACGAGUAGAUCGUCUAGUCGCAACUCGAGCUGAGGGAGACAUGGUUGAGCCACGCAAAAGAUCGAGGACAGCUCAUCUAGGGCCUCCUCCCUAGCGGCUUGGCCCAGGUCCCGCUGAGGCUGCGCCGAGUCUGCGACGCCAUGCUUGGAGUGGAUGGAGUUGGUUGUGGACAAAAAUGGCAACGACGCUGAAGGGGAGGAGGAGAAGUGCCUCGACGUGGUUGCCCAGUCCCUUAUCGAACUUGAGGGAGACGCCACCACGAUGAAACCCAUCAAAAGAUCGAGGACAGCCGCAUCCCGUGCCUCCUCCCUAGCAGCUCGGCCUGGAUCUCGCUGAGAUCAUGCUUGGAGCAGAUGGAGCUGGUGUUGGAAGCGAACCAUGAUGACACUGAAGGGGAGGAUGGGGACAACCUGGACAUGCUUGUGAAGUCCCAUCUCAACCUCUGGGGAGACGCCACCACAACGACGCCCAUCAAACGGGAUUCUUAAGUCAUAAAGUCAAUGCUUGAUUCUACUAUUUUCCUUGGAGCUACUGAAUGGUUCAAGAAAAGCAAAUGGAGGAAGCAGUGACUAUCAAGAACACUGAGAUGGCAGAACAAUUGUCACUUCGAGCAGUUAAGAUCCACUUGUAGUAUGCUUGCUGAAAAUGCAAUUAAGGUUGUUGUGAAAGAUCAUGAAGCAGUGGAGCUGGGAGACCUACAGAAAAGGCGCAUGAACAAGAAGUUCCCACCAUGAAGGGUCCGAAGAGCUAAUCUUCAGGGUCAUGUACAGCCAUAUGACCUUCUGGCUCGAUGAGGGCUUCACUGUCGCCGCCGUGGCCCAACGCUGCGCUCAUUUAUGAGACCUUCGUCUUCACCCCCAGCUUCUUCACCAAAAACAACUCCAAUCAGUUGGACGAGCUUUGAAAAAGGACAACAUGGGCGACUCCAAGUAUGUCGCCGUCGGAUCACGGUUCUGCUCCAAGGUCUUGCGUCGCUACUCAGUAUACGAAGGGAAAAGACUCAAGCAUGCAUGGGUGGGUCCCUUGCUCAUGUAGUCAUGUUCAUGGAUCUUGAUACGUGGAUAGGUUUUACUUAUUUGUUGGAUUUCUCUUCAUGGAUUCACAGAUCUCCUCCUAUACCUUUUGUUAGCUCAAACUCAAUUCAUGGGUGGAAACACACU